UUCUCUGCCCGGCCACUCCUUCUGUUUCUCCCACGCCACACACUCUCCCACCUAAACCUAAACCUAGGUCACCUGCCGCCGCCGCCUGACUUGCCAGCCGAUUUGCUCGCGUUGUUGCCGUCUCUUCCACCACCAGCGGUGCCUCCCAAAUCCUCCUUCUAGCAUGUGGUGCUUCCCCAUGUUCCAACCCCAAGGUGAUGCCUUAACAGAAGGCAUGACAGGAGAAGAGGAAGGGAGAUCCACCGCGAGCGAAGAAGGCCGGGCGGCGACCAUGGCACGCCCAGAUCGGCCAGCGCCGUCGACGUCGAGCUCCUCUGCUCCCAGUGCCAGAUCCGCCUCGGGCUCCAUCUCCACAACCACGCACCUACAGCCGCCAUGGAAGGUGCUCUGCGUGCUUGCUUCUUCCCUUCCUGGGACGCCGCUGCUCCGACGCCAUGGACAAAUAGAGGAGAAGAGGACAGGUCCUGGAAUCCAAAUUUCCUUCAUGAACAAAUGAAGCACAAUCCUUUGCAGUAGCUGAAGUUUCAGACUGGAUAAAUUACAUUGCAGCACCUGAAGUUUCAGACUGAAUAUAUUAUGUUGGCCACCUGUAUUUGGAAAAUUUACCCGAUGUAGCAUGUACAUUUAGUUUCCUAGAAGGCCAUUGCACUUGUUGUUAAUUAGCAACUCACAUUACAAAAGUGCCAGUGGAAAUUUUUGAAAUUAGUAGUGCAGUUUGCAUCUUUGUAACAGAACAUGUUAUACGAUCAAUAUUAACCAUAAAAAUUGGACUCUGUAUGUAGUGUAUGGGAAGUUUUAAGUGAUUAUGCGAAUAUGCUUUUCCUUCAGUUGUGCAUCAGAUUUCACAAUCAAUAUUUAUUUAUUUUAGAGACUGGAAAAUGAAGAGAGAGAUUAUGGGGUGUGGUGGCCAUUAGUUGCUUCCGCUGUAUGUUGACCUACUUGACUUUCCUUUCGUUAUACAUGCAGCCAAAAUUUAUGGGGGGUGUUAUAUAGGCUGGCAACUGAUUAUAUUGUAGACCAUCUGCUCGCAGCUUGUCUAGGAUUGUUGUUAUUGCUUCAGGGUUCAUAUGAAACAUAUUUCACUUUUGAUAAUUUGGACAUGUUAUUUCCUAAGUGCUAGCUCCAAAACAGGACAUUGAAAUCUUAGUUUCACAUUGGAUGUUUGGAACAUCAAUUGAGUAUCCUUAGUAAUAAACAGAAACCAUAUUCUCAAUAAACUGAUAUUUAUUGUUGAACGUGCCUUUUUCUUUUGAAAUGAUAAUUAUUACUUAGCAUGUGAUGUUGCUUAGUAAUAAACUAAACCAUAUUUUAGUGUUUUCAUUUUCCUCAAUUACCAAGUUUAACAUCCACCUUUUUUAUCUAAUACACUCCAUUAUACUCAAAUAUGUUCUUUACAACCCACAUGUGUUGCAUUUUUUCUGCUAACAGGAGAGUACCACAUUUGUGUAGACUUUCAUUUCUUACAUUCGUUACUUUCAGCCACUGAACAAACCAAGGUAUAGAAAUACAAACACGGAAAAGGCUACCUGUUGGCUGUGGGUGCUGAGCUGACGAACAGUGUGGAAGAAGAAAGUGUGAUCUUGGCAGCGGCCCAUGAAGCUUUUUUUUUCUUUGCAUGUUGAUCACUACUACACUGUUCAGGUUCUUAAUCAAGGUAGUAGUAAAUUCUCCGUGUUUUCCUCUGUACAAAUUUCGACUUGUUUGAUGUUCUUUAAUUUUAUUUCUCCUAAUCAAUCAUCUAAGUUCCCAAUGAAAGUAGCUUUGUGGGUGUGUGUGUGUGAUCAUGCUUCAUUUACUUCUAUCGCUAAGUUUCAGUUAUCUCAAUAUGACCACUAUAAAAGCCAGGCGAUGUUUGCUUGAGAAAAUAGUGUAAUAAACAGAGAUUCUUUGUGUUGCAAAUAAUUCCAUAUACCGAAAGAACAACUCAACCCAGUUUGCAUGCAGCUGGCACAUAUAUUCACCAGAAACUGAUUGACUAUGAUUGUGGGUCGCAAGCAAAGGAAUGCUAACCGUGGUGGUGGUGGUGAUUGAAGAGCCCUUAAUCAAUUCGGCCCUGUAGAUUGGAGCAGCAACCUGGGAUAUUGCACCAUCUAGCUCCGUCUAUCUGAUUCAUCUUCUUUUCUUGGUCUAUCAAUUGGAGGAAUCUACAGAUUCGUGAAUAUGUUCCUGACCUCGCACAAUCGAUAGUCGGUCUGAUCUCGUCCUCCAAUGACCAAGAGUUCCGAGACGAAUGUGUGGUGCCCCUCGCGUAACAUAGGGACAUGGCAGAAAGUAGCAAGUCCACAAGUUGAUCUAAGAUGUUCCGGUGAUCGCUUUUGUUCAUAACAUGGUAGAUACAUUUUGUUCAUAUGGAAGUUGAUGCCGGCUUGGUGAUUGAAGGAUUGGUCUCUUUCAUAAUACUCCCUCUGUACCUAAAUACUUGUAGUUGGGGGAAACUUGACACGUCUUGUAUGUCGACUUAUGUAUUACCUUCAUGGUUGUAGCAAACUUGAGUGAAGAUAACAAAUGUUCAAUAUAUGUUGAAUAAAUGUACUAGUGAAUGGUGUCUUGUGAUGAAUAGAAGAGUGCAAUUAUUUGUAUAUG
Triticum aestivum (bread wheat) is the source of this 2583-nucleotide long non-coding RNA. RefSeq lists it as uncharacterized. The record is from RefSeq and is a predicted model, not a curated record. NCBI's taxonomy places the organism in Eukaryota, Viridiplantae, Streptophyta, Magnoliopsida, Poales, Poaceae. The transcript has 5 exons.